This 405-nucleotide ribosomal RNA is filed under the name uncultured bacterium. RNAcentral describes it as "bacterial SSU rRNA". It matches the Rfam family "Bacterial small subunit ribosomal RNA", at positions 354 to 776 of the family's 1533-position model. The record is from RNAcentral.
GUGGGGGAUAUUGCACAAUGGGGGAAACCCUGAUGCAGCAACGCCGCGUGAGGGAAGAAGGUUUUCGGAUUGUAAACCUCUGUUCUUAGUGACGAUAAUGACGGUAGCUAAGGAGAAAGCUCCGGCUAACUACGUGCCAGCAGCCGCGGUAAUACGUAGGGAGCGAGCGUUGUCCGGAUUUACUGGGUGUAAAGGGUGCGUAGGCGGCGAGGCAAGUCAGGCGUGAAAUCUAUGGGCUUAACCCAUAAACUGCGCUUGAAACUGUCUUGCUUGAGUGAAGUAGAGGUAGGCGGAAUUCCCGGUGUAGCGGUGAAAUGCGUAGAGAUCGGGAGGAACACCAGUGGCGAAGGCGGCCUACUGGGCUUUAACUGACGCUGAAGCACGAAAGCAUGGGUAGCAAACAGG